Sapajus apella (tufted capuchin) is the source of this 263-nucleotide long non-coding RNA. RefSeq lists it as uncharacterized. The transcript has 2 exons. NCBI's taxonomy places the organism in Eukaryota, Metazoa, Chordata, Mammalia, Primates, Cebidae. The record is from RefSeq and is a predicted model, not a curated record.
AGCAUGAAUAUGAUUCAUACUGAGACCAUUCAUAACUCGGGUACUGUGUGCUAAUUAUCUUGGUAUUCCUGGACAUAAAAAUGCUCAAAAUCUUUAAGUAGUAAAUGAAUAAAUCUGACUGGUCUACACAACGUGAAAGGGGAAUUUCAGGGGAUGAGGCUGCAUCACAAGAGUCGUGAAUACAUGAAGGGAUUUGGGUAACACGAGGAUAAGAAGGCAGAGAAGGGUUUUAUUCAAGAGCCAAAGAGGACCAUUAUCAGAUU